Molecule: long non-coding RNA, 276 nt
Filed under: Elaeis guineensis (African oil palm)
Lineage: Eukaryota; Viridiplantae; Streptophyta; Magnoliopsida; Arecales; Arecaceae
Description: long non-coding RNA (EGUI_LNC068602)
Source: RNAcentral
GGGCCUAAUUAUAGGGUCCAUUUGAAUUUUGGGCUGGGCUCGAAUAUAUCUUUGGCCCAGUCCAGGCUCGGCCCGAGAGUAGGUCCGAUACUGCCGGCUUGCAACUAAUCUAAAAUCAGUGGUGCUUUAUUCAUAAAGAUGCUAUGAUGACUGCCUCUGUGGGUGCACCUAAAGAGUCUAGAGAGAAAUGGAGGUGAGGCAUUUCUGUUCUUGUUGUUGUAGUUGCAGAAAAAGCUUGGACGGUCUGUUAUAUCACAAGCAACCACUUGCAACCAC